Molecule: long non-coding RNA, 274 nt
Filed under: Mytilus galloprovincialis (Mediterranean mussel)
Lineage: Eukaryota; Metazoa; Mollusca; Bivalvia; Mytilida; Mytilidae
Source: RNAcentral
GCCGCCGCCGGAUCACUAUCCCUAUGUCGAGCUUUCUGCAACAAAAGUUGCAGGCUCGACAAAAAAACAAAGGAAAAACACAACAUGCAGCAAACAUCCAAAGAUAAAAUAAGAAAAACUAGAUAACAAAAUGGAAAAGAAGAGACAUGUUGUAUUAAAUCAUGUCAUGGAGUAUCUGUAAGUAAUGAAUUCUUGACUUUAAAAAACUAUGAACACACUUUCAAAAAAUAUUCGUAUGUUAAUGCAUCAGUGUUUAGAGGUACUUAAACGCUGC